GAUGAACGCUGGCGGCGUGCCUAAUACAUGCAAGUCGAACGAAAAGGCGAUGAUCUUGCGGGGUGCACGUGUGGCGCAGGGGUGAGUAACACGCGUGUAUCAUGCACCUGUCAUUGUGGUAACUUCACGGGAAUGGGGAUAAUACCCGAUAGAAGAUACUGCUGCACGGGGGGGGUUCGAGAGUUUCGGCGGUUGGGGAUCGACUCGCUGCUUAUCAGCUUGUUGGUGGGGUAGUGGCUUACCAGGGCUUUGAAGGGUAGCCGGCCUGAGAGGGGGACCGGCCACCAUGGGACUGCGAGACGGCCCAGACUCGAACGGUACGCAGCAGUGGAGAAUAUGGCAGAAUGGGCGCAAGCCAGUGGCAGCAACCCCGCGUGCGGAAUGACGUGCUACGAGUUGUGAACCGCUGUGGCCUGUGACGAGGCGGGAUUGACGGUAAUGGGUAAGAAAGCACCGGCUAACUACGUG
This 468-nucleotide ribosomal RNA is filed under the name uncultured bacterium. RNAcentral describes it as "partial 16S ribosomal RNA". It matches the Rfam family "Bacterial small subunit ribosomal RNA", at positions 28 to 507 of the family's 1533-position model. The record is from RNAcentral.